AAGCCAAUGAGCUUGAAAAUUAAGCAUGUGUUUUGAAACCACAAGAUAGAAAAUUUAUUUUAUUGGCUUU
RNAcentral lists this transfer RNA (70 nucleotides) under Chlamisus sp. N29. RNAcentral's name for it is "tRNA-Ser". Lineage: Eukaryota; Metazoa; Arthropoda; Insecta; Coleoptera; Chrysomelidae. The record is from RNAcentral.